AUAAACACCAUUACUUUUUCUUUUGUAGAUGUACAUUUUAAGGUUUUGGGUGAACAUGAAUUUUGGGGGGGAUACUAUUCAAGCCACUACAGUUAUACAUAUACAGAUAAUAGAUACCAUUACUUUUUCUUUUGUAGAUGUACAGUUACAUUGAAAGUCAAUAUUGGUGCCACCAAAGUGAACUCUUGGAAGGAAUUUGAGAAUAUCCUCAUCCUUCAUCUACAGGGCUCCAGUGUCCAUUUAAGUUACUAUGGGAACGCAGGACAAUGUCAGACGGACCCCUCUUUGGGUAGCAUGGGAAGGCUCAACAGUGUCCAUCAUUACUGAUCAUUCAAAACCUGUAUCAGAUACAUUUUCUUGAAUGAAGUUUCCUUCUCUAUCCUUCCAUUGGAAAUUGGAAUCUAAUGCUGCCAUUGGAAGAAACACACAACUUUGGAGAAGACUUUAUGUUCUGACUGCAAAAUUGGUCCUGGAAAAGACAGUUAAAGCACCUUUUAUCUCUUUUAAACAAGAAAUGAGACGGUUCUCAGCUGUGAGAAGUUUUAAUGGGUUGCUCUGAUCAGAUGGCUAAAAGACAGGAUAAAGAAAAAAAGAACAGGGAGAAGGAAGGAAGGAAGGGAAGAAGUAAAGAGUGAGAGAAAGAAUAAAGGAACGCACAUAAUGAAGGAUGAAAGGGGUAUUAGAGACUACAUAAGAAGCAAGGUCACCUCUAUUUUCCCAGAAAGAGCAUUUUGCCAAGACAAGAAACUGUCAGCAAGGCACGGUGCUUCCAGCCCAAGUCUCCCCUACCUUGGAAUCUUCCUGCCACAAUGGCAAUCUUCCUGCCACAAUGGCAAUCUUCCUGAUGCAGACCUUCUGUUUCUACAUAUGAAGCGCUGCUCCACCAGGAUCCAACAUCUACCAAAGACUCAUCAAAGGGACUUGUUGCUGACAAGGGGGAGAUUUUUUCUUUUGGUAUCAGGAAUCUGAAGCCACACUUAUGAUAGCCCCUUGUUGGUGUCUGUGCCUCCACUCAACUUGCUUUCUCUAGAGUCCUAGCUCUUACCUGCACAGUUAGUGAGAAUAAAACUGUAUCGUUUCUGACCGAGUCUGUCAGGAGGCCUCUGUCACAAAUCUUCCAGGGUAGCCUACACAAAUAAUUUACCUUCUAACUGAAAUCCCCAACAAGGUAUGCUACUUUUCAGCCGGCAGUAUAUCUCUUUUUAAUUUUUUAUUUUAUAUUUAUUUAUUUAUUUUCUUGAGACAGAGUUUCACUCUUGUUGCCCAAGUUGGAGGUCAAUGGCACAAUCUCGGCUCACUGCAACCUCCACCUCCUGGUUCAAGCGAUUCUCCUGCCUCAGUCUCCUGAGUAGCUGGGAUUACAAGCACUUACCAGCACACCUGGCUAAUUUUUGUAUUUUUAGUAGAGACAGGGUUUCACCAUGUUGAUCAGGCUGGUCUUGAUCUCCUGACCUCAGGUGAUCUGCCCCCCUCAGCCUCCCAAAGUGUUGGGAUUACAGGUGUGAGCCACCAUGCCUGGCCUUAUUUCAUUUUUGAGCAGCAUUUGAAAAAGAAACCAUUGGUCCAUCAUUGUCUACUUGGGAAGUUAUUUCUUCCCUCUGAGUCUCAGUUUCUUUAUGCAUAAUAGAAACAUAACAAUCUCUACUUCAUAAAGUUGCAUUGAUAAAUAAAAAAGUGUAUUAGUCUGUUUUCACACUGCUGAUAAAGACAUACCUGAGACUGUACAAUUGACAAAGGAAAGAAGUUUAAUGGAGAACUCACAGAUCCACGUGGCUGAGGAAGCCUCAUAAUAAUGGUGGGAGGUGAAGGAGGAGCAAGUCAAGUCUUACAUGGAUGGCAGCACACAAAAAGAGAGCUUGUACAGGGAAACUCCCGUUUUUAAAACUAUCAGAUCUCAUGAGACUCAUUCACUAUCAUGAGAACAGCACAGGAAAGACCUGCCACCAUAAGUCAAUCACCUCCCACUGGAUUCCUCCCACGACAGGUGGGAAUUGUGGGAGUUAUAAUUCAAAAUGAGAUUUGGGUGGGGACACAGCCAAUUCCUAUCAGUGAAGUUCUUAACAUAGUGGCCAGCACAUAAUCAUAAUGUAGAUUUUCUCCUCCUGAUCCCACUUAACUUAGGAUAGGAGUUUCUAAGAAAGGCUUAUGUUUUGCCCAAGUAGAAGCCUAGAAGGAAUAUUCUUAGAAACAUUUCUGACAAAUAGAGUGGCAAUAACAGACUCAAAGAUUCUGAGUCUGGAGAUGAAGAAAGUUUUCUGGAAUAGGAUAUGACAUACCUUAAAACAACCUGCUCUAGCAGAAGAUAAUAUUAGAACUUUGUCAAUGAUAUUUUUCUUUAGAAAUUUCUCCAGUAAAGAAAUUCAUGUAGGUGGACAGUGGUGAAAAAUGUAGCAUAGUAGUUAAGAACAAGUUUCACUUCAUCCUGAGUCCAAAUUCUGUUUCUGGAAUUUUCAACAAUACCUGGAUAGACGAUUUUACCUCUCUGGCUAAAUUUCCCUCUUCAAUCAAUGGGAAAUACAGGGAUAAUUCGUGAAAUACAGGGAUAACGUAUGGAUGAAAUACGAUGUUUAUGAUGUAGCCAACAUAUCUUGAGACUUCUCAGCGUCUGUAAUUGUGUGAACCAAUUCCCCAUAUAUUCUCUCUCUCUCUCUCUCUCUCUCUCUCUCUCUCUCUCUCUCUCUCUCUGUCUGUCUCUCUCUCCUACUGGAUCUACCUCUGUGGAAAACCCUUAUUGAUACAAUGUCUUUGAAACAGCAAGCAUUAUUAAGUUUGAUAAAGUUAAAUUUAAAAUUGUCUUUAAUGAUUUGGGUUUUUUUUAUGUGUGUGAUGGCUGUAGGAAAUUUUUAUGUAGCCAAAGAUGCAAAGAUUUUCUCCUGUGUUUUUACUUCUGAAAGUUUAAGCUUUAGCUCUUAAAUUUGGCAUCAUAUAUUUCGACUUACUUUUUGCAUAAAGUGUGAGGUAAGGCUUGAGACUCAUUUGUUUCCUUGUGAAUAUCCCAUUAUUGUGGCAGUUUGUUUAAUAAUGUAUCAUUUCCCUAUUGAAUUGUUUUGACACUUUUAUAGAAAUAGAUACACCAUUUAAGUAUGGGUCUAUUUUUGGACUCCCCAUCCUGUUCUAUUUAUUUAUAUGUCUGUCUUUAUGCCAACAUCACACAAUGUUUCUUACUGAAGUUAUAUUUUAAGUCCUGAAAUCAGGUAGUGCAAAGUUCAUCGUAAUUAUUUUAGAUUUCCUAGGCCCUUAAAUAUAAACUUGAGAAUGAGUUUGUUAGUUUCUAAAGGCAAAGAAAAACAAACUAAAACAGCCUUACAGGCUUUUCAUUGGUUACAUAAUAAAUCUAUUGAUCAAUUUGGGAAGAAUUAACAUUCUACCAAUUUUGACUCUCCCAAUAUGUAAACACAGUAUAUCUUACUCAUUUAUGUAUGUUAUUCUUAAUUUUACCAGCAAUGUUUGGUAGUUUUCAGUUUACAGGUCUUGCCCAUAUUUUAUUAUGUGUAUCUCUAAGUAUUUCAUGUUUUACUGCUAUUUUAAAUGAAAUUGAUUUCUGUAUACCGAUGUCUCUUACCCUGCGAGUAGAUCUAAGCUUCCAUCUGGUAUAAGCUAUUUUUUUCAGUAUGUGGUACUUUAACUUUUCUCAUAGUGCAGAUCUGCUGACAAAAGAUUAUUUUUAAAGUAUUCAUUAGAUAUUUUUAUAUUGUAGAAGUUCUCUUUUAUUUCUAGUUUCCUGAGCAUUUUUAUCAGGAGUGGGUGUUGAAUUUUGUCAUAGAUAUUUUUUCUCCUGGAUCUUAAUUAAUAUAAUCACGUAGAUUUUCUCCCUUAUUCUUUAAGUAUGGCCAAUUACAUUGAUUAAAUAUUGAAUAUAAAAAUCAACCUCACACUUUGGGAUAAACCUCUUUCAGUGAUGAUGUGUUAUAAUAUGUGUAUGUUGCUGAUAAGAAUUUUUGUUUCUAUGUUAAUGAAGGAUAUAAGCCUGUACUUUCAUGUUUUUGUAAUAUUUUCUUUUGGUUUUGGUAUGAGAGUAACACCAUAUUGUACGGCCUUAUAAAAUAAGUUGGAAAGUAUUACCUCUUAUAUUUUCUGAGCGAGUAUAUAUAAGACUAUUAUAUUUUCCUUUAUGAUUGAUAGACGUCACAAAUGAAACCAUCUGGGCUUCCAAUUUUCUUUGUGAGGAGAAUUUAAAUUACGAAGUCAAUGUUUUUAAUAGAUUACAAACUAUUACAAUUUUCUAUAUUUGUCUUUGUACAAGUUUUGUAAUUUGUGUUUUAAAGUGCUUUAAUAAUUUCAUCUAAAUUCAUAAAUGUAUCAUCACAAAUUUUUCAUAAUUUCUUAAUAUCUUUUACACGUUGUUGACACUUUUGUAAAAAUCAGUACAACAUCUUUUGGAAACCUUAAUGACAUUCCCCUCUUUGUUUCUGAUACAAGCAAUUAAUGCAUUCUCUCCAUUUUUUCCAUUAAUCUUUCUGGUGGGAAAAGUAUCAAUUUUAUUGAUCAUUUCAUAGAACUAGUUUUUAAUCUGAAUGAUUUUCCCGAUUGUUUGCCCAUGUAUAUUUUAUUGACUACUCUUUAUUAUUUAAUUCCACUUAUCUUGGGAUUAAUUUAAUUUCUUCUACACCUCAAGGAGAAACCUUAAGUCAAUGAUUUGUAUCUUCUUUUCCAAUAUAAGUAAUUAAAGCUAUAAAUUUUACUUCAGC
This 4688-nucleotide long non-coding RNA is filed under the name Macaca nemestrina (pig-tailed macaque). RNAcentral's name for it is "lncRNA (ENSMNEG00000045677.1)". Lineage: Eukaryota; Metazoa; Chordata; Mammalia; Primates; Cercopithecidae. The record is from RNAcentral.